UUGGAGAAGAUGCUUUCGAGAAGGAUAAAGCCGCAUACAAGAUAUGAAAAGAUGACAGUGUGACUGUCAAAUAUAUCAUGCUUACCUUAAUGAGCAAUGAGCUCUAGAGACAACAUGAGUAUAUGGACGUUCCCUCUAUUCUCCUUAAUUUUAAAGAGCUAUAUGGGGAACAAAGUCAGACUGCUCGAUAUGAGAUAUCGAAGUAAUUAUUCUGUGCUCGUAUGACUG
Molecule: long non-coding RNA, 228 nt
Filed under: Elaeis guineensis (African oil palm)
Lineage: Eukaryota; Viridiplantae; Streptophyta; Magnoliopsida; Arecales; Arecaceae
Description: long non-coding RNA (EGUI_LNC019104)
Source: RNAcentral